This 1666-nucleotide ribosomal RNA is filed under the name Escherichia coli. Its description in RNAcentral is "bacterial LSU rRNA". It matches the Rfam family "Bacterial large subunit ribosomal RNA", at positions 1281 to 2925 of the family's 2925-position model. The record is from RNAcentral. Lineage: Bacteria; Pseudomonadati; Pseudomonadota; Gammaproteobacteria; Enterobacterales; Enterobacteriaceae.
AUCAGAAGUGCGAAUGCUGACAUAAGUAACGAUAAAGCGGGUGAAAAGCCCGCUCGCCGGAAGACCAAGGGUUCCUGUCCAACGUUAAUCGGGGCAGGGUGAGUCGACCCCUAAGGCGAGGCCGAAAGGCGUAGUCGAUGGGAAACAGGUUAAUAUUCCUGUACUUGGUGUUACUGCGAAGGGGGGACGGAGAAGGCUAUGUUGGCCGGGCGACGGUUGUCCCGGUUUAAGCGUGUAGGCUGGUUUUCCAGGCAAAUCCGGAAAACCAAGGCUGAGGCGUGAUGACGAGGCACUACGGUGCUGAAGCGACAAAUGCCCUGCUUCCAGGAAAAGCCUCUAAGCAUCAGGUAACAUCAAAUCGUACCCCAAACCGACACAGGUGGUCAGGUAGAGAAUACCAAGGCGCUUGAGAGAACUCGGGUGAAGGAACUAGGCAAAAUGGUGCCGUAACUUCGGGAGAAGGCACGCUGAUAUGUAGGUGAAGCGACUUGCUCGUGGAGCUGAAAUCAGUCGAAGAUACCAGCUGGCUGCAACUGUUUAUUAAAAACACAGCACUGUGCAAACACGAAAGUGGACGUAUACGGUGUGACGCCUGCCCGGUGCCGGAAGGUUAAUUGAUGGGGUUAGCGGUAACGCGAAGCUCUUGAUCGAAGCCCCGGUAAACGGCGGCCGUAACUAUAACGGUCCUAAGGUAGCGAAAUUCCUUGUCGGGUAAGUUCCGACCUGCACGAAUGGCGUAAUGAUGGCCAGGCUGUCUCCACCCGAGACUCAGUGAAAUUGAACUCGCUGUGAAGAUGCAGUGUACCCGCGGCAAGACGGAAAGACCCCGUGAACCUUUACUAUAGCUUGACACUGAACAUUGAGCCUUGAUGUGUAGGAUAGGUGGGAGGCUUUGAAGUGUGGACGCCAGUCUGCAUGGAGCCGACCUUGAAAUACCACCCUUUAAUGUUUGAUGUUCUAACGUUGGCCCGUAAUCCGGGUUGCGGACAGUGUCUGGUGGGUAGUUUGACUGGGGCGGUCUCCUCCUAAAGAGUAACGGAGGAGCACGAAGGUUGGCUAAUCCUGGUCGGACAUCAGGAGGUUAGUGCAAUGGCAUAAGCCAGCUUGACUGCGAGCGUGACGGCGCGAGCAGGUGCGAAAGCAGGUCAUAGUGAUCCGGUGGUUCUGAAUGGAAGGGCCAUCGCUCAACGGAUAAAAGGUACUCCGGGGAUAACAGGCUGAUACCGCCCAAGAGUUCAUAUCGACGGCGGUGUUUGGCACCUCGAUGUCGGCUCAUCACAUCCUGGGGCUGAAGUAGGUCCCAAGGGUAUGGCUGUUCGCCAUUUAAAGUGGUACGCGAGCUGGGUUUAGAACGUCGUGAGACAGUUCGGUCCCUAUCUGCCGUGGGCGCUGGAGAACUGAGGGGGGCUGCUCCUAGUACGAGAGGACCGGAGUGGACGCAUCACUGGUGUUCGGGUUGUCAUGCCAAUGGCACUGCCCGGUAGCUAAAUGCGGAAGAGAUAAGUGCUGAAAGCAUCUAAGCACGAAACUUGCCCCGAGAUGAGUUCUCCCUGACUCCUUGAGGGUCCUGAAGGAACGUUGAAGACGACGACGUUGAUAGGCCGGGUGUGUAAGCGCAGCGAUGCGUUGAGCUAACCGGUACUAAUGAACCGUGAGGCUUAACCUU